GGCAGUUUGGCCGAGUGGUUAAGGCGCCGUGUUAAGGCCGCGGUCCGAAAGGGCGCAGGUUCGAGUCCUGCAGCUGUCA
Transfer RNA from Exidia glandulosa HHB12029, 79 nucleotides. It matches the Rfam family "tRNA". Rfam says of the family: Transfer RNA (tRNA) molecules are approximately 80 nucleotides in length. Their secondary structure includes four short double-helical elements and three loops (D, anti-codon, and T loops). Further hydrogen bonds mediate the characteristic L-shaped molecular structure. tRNAs have two regions of fundamental functional importance: the anti-codon, which is responsible for specific mRNA codon recognition, and the 3' end, to which the tRNAs corresponding amino acid is attached (by aminoacyl-tRNA synthetases). tRNAs cope with the degeneracy of the genetic code in two manners: having more than one tRNA (with a specific anti-codon) for a particular amino acid; and 'wobble' base-pairing, i.e. permitting non-standard base-pairing at the 3rd anti-codon position. The record is from Rfam. Lineage: Eukaryota; Fungi; Basidiomycota; Agaricomycetes; Auriculariales; Exidiaceae.